AAAUCCGUCGAUUUUAAAAAUCUUGAGGGUUCAAGUCCCUCUAUCCCCA
Molecule: transfer RNA, 49 nt
Filed under: Campanula abietina
Lineage: Eukaryota; Viridiplantae; Streptophyta; Magnoliopsida; Asterales; Campanulaceae
Description: partial tRNA-Leu
Source: RNAcentral